Molecule: unclassified non-coding RNA, 1657 nt
Filed under: Hevea brasiliensis (rubber tree)
Lineage: Eukaryota; Viridiplantae; Streptophyta; Magnoliopsida; Malpighiales; Euphorbiaceae
Source: RNAcentral
UCUAAUGUGAUCAAUUGGUUGUGGCAAUUGUGAAACAAUAACGAAUGAGACAGGAUGUCAACAUUCUAACAAAUCAGCAAAUGUUCCAAGCUGAAGAGCCAAUCGUUCUAUAUCUUUAGGGUUUCUCUCUUUUUCACGCACAAUCCCCCUUCUCUAGAAAAAAAAGAAAAACCUAAGUUAUCUGCUAAGUCCCAUUGGAAAGGGGAAGUUCAGCGUUCUCUUUGUGGAUCGUCCCCCUCACAUAAGCUCUAUUUUACCUUCAAUAUUUUUUCUUCAAUUUGAAAAGAAAAUUAGAAAUUUAAGAGGAUAAUUGACCUUGAUUUUGUGCAAUUACAUAAAUGUCCAUCUAUUUUUUAUUGCCAUUUCCCGUUUUCCUUUUCUAGGGUUCAUGGUGGCCAUUUACAAAAAUUCCUUUUCUCAGAAAAAUAUCAACUCCCUCUCAUCUACCUCUUGCCUCUCAUCAGCUCUUUUCACUUUUCUCUCGUCAUGCCUCAGGUUUAUUCCGUCCUUCAGAGCUUAGGUGGUGAUGCCAACGUUUCACUCUCCCUUGCAAGCUCCCAGACCCCCCAUCUCUUCAUUCUCCCGUCGCUGCUUCCUUCUCUCUAGUCUUCCUGUCUUUGAUUUCGGCUCUUUAUUCUAGGUUGGUGAAAAUUCAAAGCUGGUGAUUGGAGACCUUGAGCUCUUAUACAGUUACAGUUUGCAAGGCAGUUCAAUUUAGAGAAUCUUGGAGAUCUAAGCAAUUUCCUAUCCAAAAUUAAAAUUCUGAUUUGAUAGCAGCUGAGACUGGAUAUACGGUUCAUAUAAAAAUUUUGGCCACUUCUUCCUCGUUGCAAAUAUGAGUUUCGUACGCGUGUUUUGAAGAGGUCCCAAGGCACGAGAACAAAGUUGAAGACUUGGAAAGGCCAAAGAAUUGAGAAAUGUUGCUGAUACAAUUUACACGAGUCAUGUAAUCAAAGCCAUAGAUCCAUGUAACUUACUGCCAGGAGAAAGACAAAGAACCAAAGAAGAAUCGAAGUACACGGGCCAUGUUCUGUGCCCCAUGUAAAAUAUGAAUACUUGUGUAAGUCUCUGCUGGGCCAAGCUUGAAGAUUUCCCUGAAAUACAAAAGUACACGGACUGUGUUAUCAGGCUCGUGUAACUACCUGAAGACCGUGAAAACUCCUGUACCGAUGCAAGAUGCAACCAAUCAAGCUCCAGUAAGUUACACGACCCAAGGCUAUGUAGUGAUGCACGUGCCGUGUAUCGUGCGGUAGCCGGUUUCCCAACUCGAUUCUAGCUUCAGUUUCUACAGAGAAAAGAGACUCCUUAUGCCUUAAGGACUCUAAAAACCUAACCUUAGCCCAAUCAUUAUAAAUAGAGGCAGCAGAUAACAAGAGGGAGAGCUUUUUUGACCUUCACUAUUUUCACACAACCGUUUAGAAGAAUAGUGCAUUGGCAUCAAGGAGAAACCCUCAGCUGAAGUUCCAAAAGAUCAAAGCUGCAGAUUCUCUUCGAUUCUUUUGUUCUAUUUCUUUAAGCGGAUAUUUCAUGUUCUUUUAUUUUAUUUCUAUUAUGUUUGUUAAACUCACAAUGAGUGAGUAAUUUCUUUAUUCUGGAAUUAGGAGAGUAGCGCUUGUAAUUGUUAUUAUGGAUCAAUAUUGAGUUUUAUUUAUUAGAC